CUCAAGACCUUCCCUGAUAAUCCCUUUUGAUCUCUCAACAUAAAUUCUGGUGUUGAUGCUAUGAAAACAGACACAGUAUUCCACGAAUGACACAGACAUGGUUCCAGCUAGUGAUGCAUCACAUGGGCUCCUUCUGCUAGUCACGCAUCUCCUCUCUCCCAAAUAUACAUUCAGCGCCAUCAUGUAGUCAAGUGAUGGAACUCCAUCUGUACAAAGGAAUUCACCUCAUUUUUAUGUAUACUUCAGUAACUUGUGUCCUCUGCAAAUUUUAACCUUAAUUCUAUUUUCUUUUAGAAAAUUAUAAAGAAAUAACUGAAUGCAGUGAUCUACACGGUGUCUACAUGGUGCUCCACUAGAAAGUCUCCUUGAAGAUGGUGUCUUCCUGUUCACAGUUAAUCAUUAACAUAAUUCAACUACUUUUAGGUACUGCUAUUCAUUUUAAUUUGAAGAGCAUGGCACAGAAUACCUGCACAAAAUUAUCAAAUUAUAACCUCAUCAAAAGUCUGUUCCAUGAAGAAACAGCCACACUGACCACAUGCAGCCCUGUCUUUAUAAAAACUAAGAUGUGAAUAUCAGAAUGAAAGGAAGAAACAAAGAGUCAUCAUGCAAUUAUCACACGUUUAUAUACGAACCUUGCUGGAAGGGAGGUCCUGCUGAAGAUGAAACUGUACGUUCUCUGUGCCAGUAUUUAAAAGUAACUUAGUGACCUCUGCUGAAAUACUCAGAGCUCUUAUUAAACUGCUGCUUUGUGGUGAAGAAAGAUGUGCUGGUGUGGACAAGAUUAGAGAAUUAGGGUUAAUUCAGCCAACUGUGUAGGAAGAAGACUUACAUGAAACCAUCUUCCAUAUCCAUAGAUAAUUUAUGAAUAGAAUGCAAGUACCGUUCUACAGUCUCAAAUAGACACAGCUGGUUAGGCGCACACAGCCUGCCAUCCUAGCCAGCAGGGGAAGCAUUUGUCACUUGUUUCAAAUUUGCUUUCUCUUAAGUUGAUGGCACACUUGAUGAACUUUACUAAUUGCAUUUUGGAAGGAUGGAAAAGAUCAUUCAAGAAGGAAAAGAACCCAUAAAAAACUGAAAACAAAUCCAGACACGCAGUUAGGCUGGAUAAACCUUUAAAAGUGCUACAAACUCUUUGCAUCUGCACCUGUGGCAGGUGAUGGAUCCCUGUUACAGAUGGAGUUUCAUUUUUAAACCAUGAAGAGGAGUUCUACGUGUGAAUAGUUUGAAAAAACAGGUCAUAAAGGUGUUUAAUAAGGUCUUCCUAUUAAGGGUAGUCCUCUGCACAGAAAUGAAAAUGGAACCAACUAAAACAGUAUAAAUUUAACUGGUCAUGAUAGCAAUCUUUGGAAGUAAAUGAAGGAAAAUAAAAGAAUAUUUUUGCUCUCUCCACAGAUGCCAGAAGGGCAGGGCAAGGGCUGGGUAACGAACUGUAGCACCCAUAUCUUCUGCCAACCAGGUCACCUGGGGCACAAAAACUUGUUCAUAUUGGCUCAUUUUUGAUAUCAUGCUAACACCUUUACCUUCCCAGUGACAGUCAGCUGUAGCAUGUAAUUUGUGCUGUUUUUUUUUUUUUUUUUUUUUUUUUUCUCCAAGUCCAAUGUACCUGAACAAAAGCUGUGUGUUUUCUGGGGAGAAUCCCUGUGGCUGGAAUUUCUCAUAAGCCACCAGAAGGCAGCUGACCCUUGAGCAUUGCUGAAGUCCAGAAUUG
This is a long non-coding RNA of Gallus gallus (chicken), 1708 nucleotides long. The record is from Ensembl. Lineage: Eukaryota; Metazoa; Chordata; Aves; Galliformes; Phasianidae.